GAUGAAGAACGUAGCGAAAUGCGAUACUUGGUGUGAAUUGCAGAAUCCCGUGAACCAUCGAGUCUUUGAACGCAAGUUGCGCCCGAAGCCAUUAGGCCGAGGGCACGCCUGCCUGGGCGUCACACGUCGUUGCCCCCCCAUCUACUCCUUCGGGAUUGCGGGGGGCGGAUGAUGGCCUCCCGUGCGCCUCGUCGCGCGGUUGGCAUAAAUGCCAAGUCCUCGGUGACGCACGCCACGACAAUCGGUGGUUGCGAAACCUCGGUUGCCCGUCGUGUGCGGUCGUCGCGCAUCGAGGGCUCGAAAAAAUUGCCGGGCUCCGGCUCGGCUUUCAACGCGACCCCAGGUCAGGCGGGGUUACCCGCUGAAUUUAAGCAUAUCAAUAAGCGGAGGA
This 391-nucleotide unclassified non-coding RNA is filed under the name soil metagenome. Its description in RNAcentral is "partial contains 5.8S ribosomal RNA, internal transcribed spacer 2, and large subunit ribosomal RNA". The stretch from base 1 to 122 matches the Rfam family "5.8S ribosomal RNA", at positions 35 to 154 of the family's 154-position model. The record is from RNAcentral.